AUUGAACGCUGGCGGCAUGCCUUACACAUGCAAGUCGAACGGCAGCACGGGUGCUUGCACCUGGUGGCGAGUGGCGAACGGGUGAGUAAUACAUCGGAACAUGUCCUGUAGUGGGGGAUAGCCCGGCGAAAGCCGUAUUAAUACCGCAUACGAUCUACGGCUGAAAGCGGGGGCCCUUCGGGCCUCGCGCUAUAGGGUUGGCCGAUGGCGGUUUAGCUAGUUGGUGGGGUAAAGGCCUACCAAGGCGACGCUCAGUAGCUGGUCUGAGAGGACGACCAGCAACACUGGGACUGGGAGACGGCCCAGACUCCUACGGGAGGCAGCAGUGGGGAAUUUUGGACAAUGGGCGAAAGCAUGAUCCAGCAAUGCCGCGUGGGUGAAGAAGGCAUUCGGGUGGUAAAGCACUUUGGUCCGGAAAGAAAACCUUGGCCCUAAUAAGGUCGGGGGAUGACGGUACCGGAAGAAUAAGCACCGGCUAACUACGUG
This 486-nucleotide ribosomal RNA is filed under the name uncultured bacterium. RNAcentral describes it as "partial 16S ribosomal RNA". It matches the Rfam family "Bacterial small subunit ribosomal RNA", at positions 29 to 507 of the family's 1533-position model. The record is from RNAcentral.